UACACCUUGAACUGUGAAGGCUUUUCCUAUUCCCUCUACCUGUAUGUGUAUAGUCAUCUCCGUUGUUUUGUUCACCCAUCUGACUGAAGAUUUUAUGGCAGCAACUAAAAGAAGGAACUAAGAUCCCUUUAAGAGCGGAGUCUAAGUGGUGGUUACAUUUACUGAGUUAUGACGGAUGAACCAUCCCUGUUUCUCUGGAGAUGGCGCCAACUUAAUCAUGGCAGAUCAUGGCAGAUUGGCUGCCCAGCAAGCCCCAGAGACUCUCAUGUCUCCGCCUCCUGUGUGCUGGGAUUACAGGAGGGAGUCGCCGUGCCUGGCUUCUUCAUGCAAGUUCUGGGGACACACACACUGAGGUCCUCAUGCAUUAACCAUCGUCCCAAACCUCUUCAGAGGCCUUUAACAGAACAAACAUAUGGCAGUUUAGAAUGUAAAAGCGCACCUAAGGUACUUUCUUUUAUUUUUAACUUAGAUGUGUGUGGGUAUGCCUGUGUGUGAGGAUGUGCAGAUGCAUGUGAGAGGGCCCAUGAUGGCCAGAUCCUCUGGAGCUGAGUUACAAACAUCUGAGCCACCGUAUGGGUACCGGCAACCCAUCUCGGGUCAUCUUCAAGAACAGUACGUGCUCUUAACCUCUGAACCCCCCUAUACUGACUUUCUAGGAUUAACACACACACACACACACACACACACACACACACACACACUCCCAUGUGUACACAAACUUAUGCAUUAUUGAGAAUUUGGCAUUUUCUGGUGAGAUCCCAGCUCUUGCCAUGACCCCCCCCCCCCCAUUUUAUGACAGGGAUCUUAUGAUCUUAUGUCAUCCGACCGACACAUCUCAGGAGUGCUCUUUUAUUUUUAAAUAUCUACAGAGAACAGCGAGAGACGCACUCAUGGCUUCCUGCUAGGAGACAGUAAGUGCCGUUCAAGGUUGGUGUCUCUUUCAUUCAAGUUUGGCUGAGUCAUUCACAGCUAACACUAUGUUUAGGAUUUGCUAAUACGGGCAUAACUUUCCAUGGAAGCAAAUAACAUUGCAGUCACCCAGCUUCCCACACCGCGUGUCCCAGAUGGGCUUGAGGAGGAUGCGCUGGUUCACACACCUCCCCCGGCAGCGGCAGCUCCAAGGAGUUGGGGUGACCUCCCUGUCCAUGUGCACGUCAAACCCUCCCACACCGCAAUCUGGAAUCUAAUGACCUAUUUGAGCUCUAAUUUUAAAAGUGCCCUACAGGCUUGCCUACGGCCCAAUCUUAUUGAAGAACUUUGUCAAUUGGUUCCCUGCUCUUAAAUGAUUUUAGCUUGUGUCAAACUGACAUAAAAACUAGCCGGCUAAUCAUGCUCUAAAUAUCCACCACAUUGGGACAAAUGACAAGAUUCAUGCAUAAAAACAAAGCAGCCAGAAAAUGAACUUCCACAGCAAGGAAUGAAAUCAGAGUGUCAAAAAGUGUAGGGGGGUUGGGGAUUUAGCUCAGUGGUAGAGCGCUUGCCUAGGAAGCGCAAGGCCCUGGGUUCGGUCCCCAGCUCCGAAAAAAAGAACCAAAAAAAAAAAAAAAAGUGUAGGGAGCCAUUCUGAGCUAUACAGUCACAAAGGAUGUGGGGAGCAGGUGUGGCGGCAGUCCCAAGAUGGUGCCCAGGACUGCAGUUAAGUCUCAUGACUAGAACCUGACUUCCUCACACACCUGAAACUAGCCACGUCCAUUGUGAGAGCUGCGCAGGCGCACCAUGACGCAAGAUCAGGCCAUGUGACCUAGACCUAUGAACUGAGAUUAUGCAGUCUGGACUGAGGAGGCGGAGUUGACGGAGGAUAAGGGUGUGUGCUCGGGGGCUGCGGAGAGAGAGAAAUAAGAAAAGAGAUUGUUGCUUGCAUGCAGAAAAAGGUUCCUGAAUAAACUGCUUUGAGAAGAACAUCGUGGUGUCCCUCCUUUCCUGCUGGUCGGGGUUGGUCGUGACAAAAAAGGGUGCCUGCUCCCCAAUUUUUUUGCAGUAUGUCUCAAUUCGCUUCUCUGUCACUGUGAUAAAUACCAUGACCAAAAGCAACUUGGAAAGGAAAGUUUCAUCUUACAGGAUAUAGACCAUGGGGAAGGAAGCAAAGGCAGGAACUCAAGCGGGAACCUGGAGGCCAGAACUGAAGCAGAGGCCAUGGACGAGGCAUGACUUGUUUGCCAUGCCUUGCUCGGGUUAAUUUUUUUACAACCCAGGACCAUCUGAAGUGGAAAACUCACUCCAAGAAAUUUGCGCUAGUGUGAUUAGCUAAUCAGAUGGAGGCAUUUUUCUCAGUAGAGGCUUCCUAUUCCCAAAUGACUCUACCUUGUGUCAAAGCGACAAAAACAGAAACAAACAAACAACAAACAAACAAAAAACAAACAAACAAAAAAAAAACCCCAGAACACAGUGCUAGUCACAGGAAUCAAGAUAUGGAAUCAUCCUAUGGAGAAAUGGAGAAAGAACAUACUACCUAGUAUUUUCUACUUUCUCCAUAUGCUGUUGUGGGAUGGGCUCAGCCGUGGACUCUUCUUGAAGGGUUCCAGGAGGAACCUGUUUACAGACAGCCUGAUUUUCAGAGGGAGGCUGCUGGGUGUGUGUGUGUGUGUGUGUGUGUGUGUGUGUGUGUGUGUCACAGGAGUCAUUGAAUUAUGGGAAAC
Non-coding RNA from Rattus norvegicus (Norway rat), 2636 nucleotides. NCBI's taxonomy places the organism in Eukaryota, Metazoa, Chordata, Mammalia, Rodentia, Muridae. The record is from RefSeq and is a predicted model, not a curated record.